CAGAAGUAUAGGUGACAACCUACUACUUGCAAUUGGUAUGGGAGGGCAGGAGGGAGUCUUGUGGGACUGAGCCCGUAACCUGUGGGAGCUGACACUAUUUGCCUAGAGAUGGUUCCAGAAUUGAUGGUGUCUGCUGGAGAAUUGCUUGACGUGUGGGGAAAACCCCCCCAUACAUCUGGUGUCAGAAGUGUUGUGUUGAGUGUUGUGGGAGGAAAAAAGGAAGCUGUUUCUUCCUUCAGACCAGGUGACCAAGGCCUGACUUGGGGCCAGAGGCAGUGAGGUUGGAGGGUGAGGGACCAGCAGUGGAGGUAUUUGAGACAUGGAGUUGACACUGACGUUGUCAGCAGAACCAUGGAGGUUGGGUCAGAAGUUACCUGAGGCUUGCCUGGGCACGGUUGGCUCAUGCUUGUAAUCCCAACAUUUUGGGAGGUUGAGGUGAGAGGAUUGCUUGAGGCCAGAAGUUUGAGACCAGCCUGGACAACAUAGCAAAACCUGGUCUCUAUUUUCUUUUUUUUAAAAAAAGAGGCGGGGGUGAGUGGGAGGGGGUGCCAGCAUGGUGGCUCAUGCCUGUAAUCUCAGCACUUUGGGAGGCCAAAAUGAGUAGAUUGCUUGAGCUCAAGAAUUUAAGACCAGCCUGGGCAACAUGGCAAAACCCCAUCUCUUCAAAAAAUACAAAAACAUAGCUGGGCGUGGUGGCACAUGCCUGUGGUCCCAGCCAUUUGGGAGGCUGAGGUGGGAGGAUUGCUUGAGCCCAGGAGGUUGAGGAUGCAGUGAGCCUAGAUGGCAACACUGCAGUUCAAUCUGGGUGACAGAGCAAGAACUUGUCUUAAAACAAAAAGAAAAGAAAUUACCUAAGGCUGGAAGGAGAGCUGGCUUUUAACUAAGGCCUACUAUAUGUGUCUUGAUUCUUAAGAAACAGCAGUAUGGGGGGGUCCCCUAAGACCAUCUCCAGGUCCCUGGGGUGGGAGCAGGUGAGGAAAGUAGGGAGGGAAGGAGAUGGUGCUGCUGAGCGGGGUCAGGUAUGAGUCCUUGGUGGUGAGUCCUUGGCAUAUAGUUGGUGCACUUUCUUUCCCAUGCUGAAGCAUAGAAAGCUUGUUUAAGACAAGUAGGGACAAAACAAAAGUCAAAGCUGAUUCCUACAACACAACACUAAUUUUUUUUUUUUUUUGAGAUGGAGUCUUGCUCUGUCACCCAAGCUGGAGUGCAGUGGCACGAUCUCGGCUCACUGCAACCUCCGCCUCCCGAGUUCAAGUGAUUCUCGUGCCUCAGCCUCCCGAGUAGCAUUGGCGCUCUCAUAGGCCUGUCCGUAGCAGCAGUGGUUCUUCUCGCCUUCAUUGUUACCGCCUGUGUGCUCUGCUACCUGUUCAUCAGCUCUAAGCCCCACACAAAGUUGGACCUGGGCUUGAGCUUACAGACAGCAGGCCCUGAGGAGGUUUCUCCUGACUGCCAAGGUGUGAACACAGGCAUGGCGGCAGAAGUGCCAAAAGUGAGCCCUCUCCAGCAGAGUUACUCCUGCUUGAACCCGCAGCUGGAGAGCAAUGAGGGGCAGGCUGUGAACUCCAAACGCCUCCUCCAUCAUUGCUUCAUGGCCACAGUGACCACCAGUGACAUUCCAGGCAGCCCUGAGGAAGCCUCUGUACCCAACCCUGACCUAUGUGGACCAGUCCCAUAAACAUUCAAUAAAUGUCUCCAUACCAUC
RNAcentral lists this long non-coding RNA (1699 nucleotides) under Homo sapiens (human). RNAcentral describes it as "HSALNT0292175". Lineage: Eukaryota; Metazoa; Chordata; Mammalia; Primates; Hominidae. The record is from RNAcentral.